Molecule: ribosomal RNA, 285 nt
Filed under: uncultured bacterium
Lineage: Bacteria
Description: partial 16S ribosomal RNA
Rfam family: Bacterial small subunit ribosomal RNA
Source: RNAcentral
ACCUACGGGGGGCAGCAGUGGGGGAUAUUGCACAAUGGGGGAAACCCUGAUGCAGCGACGCCGCGUGAGUGAAGAAGGGUUUCGGCUCGUAAAGCUCUGUUGGGAGUGAAGAAAGAUAGAGGUAGUAACUGGCCUUUAUUUGACGGUAAUUACUUAGAAAGUCACGGCUAACUACGUGCCAGCAGCCGCGGUAAUACGUAGGUGGCAAGCGUUGUCCGGAUUUAUUGGGCGUAAAGCGAGUGCAGGCGGUUCAAUAAAGCUGAUGUGAAAGCCUUUGGAGCAAAC